Molecule: ribosomal RNA, 1510 nt
Filed under: Salmonella enterica subsp. houtenae
Lineage: Bacteria; Pseudomonadati; Pseudomonadota; Gammaproteobacteria; Enterobacterales; Enterobacteriaceae
Description: partial 23S ribosomal RNA
Rfam family: Bacterial large subunit ribosomal RNA
Source: RNAcentral
UGUUACUGCGAAGGGGGGACGGAGAAGGCUAUGUUGGCCGGGCGACGGUUGUCCCGGUUUAAGCGUGUAGGUGUGUGUUCCAGGUAAAUCCGGUUCACUUUAACACUGAGGCGUGAUGACGAGGCACCACGGUGCUGAAGCAACAAAUGCCCUGCUUCCAGGAAAAGCCUCUAAGCCUCAGGUAACAUCAAAUCGUACCCCAAACCGACACAGGUGGUCAGGUAGAGAAUACCAAGGCGCUUGAGAGAACUCGGGUGAAGGAACUAGGCAAAAUGGUGCCGUAACUUCGGGAGAAGGCACGCUGACAGGUAGGUGAAGUGGUUUACCCAUGGAGCUGAAGUCAGUCGAAGAUACCAGCUGGCUGCAACUGUUUAUUAAAAACACAGCACUGUGCAAACACGAAAGUGGACGUAUACGGUGUGACGCCUGCCCGGUGCCGGAAGGUUAAUUGAUGGGGUCAGCGCAAGCGAAGCUCCUGAUCGAAGCCCCGGUAAACGGCGGCCGUAACUAUAACGGUCCUAAGGUAGCGAAAUUCCUUGUCGGGUAAGUUCCGACCUGCACGAAUGGCGUAAUGAUGGCCAGGCUGUCUCCACCCGGGACUCAGUGAAAUUGAACUCGCUGUGAAGAUGCAGUGUACCCGCGGCAAGACGGAAAGACCCCGUGAACCUUUACUAUAGCUUGACACUGAACACUGGUCCUUGAUGUGCAGGAUAGGUGGGAGGCUUUGAAGUGUGGACGCCAGUCUGCAUGGAGCCAUCCUUGAAAUACCACCCUUUAAUGGCUGGUGUUCUAACGUGGGCCCGUGAACCGGGUUGCGGACAGUGUCUGGUGGGUAGUUUGACUGGGGCGGUCUCCUCCUAAAGAGUAACGGAGGAGCACGAAGGUUGGCUAAUCCUGGUCGGACAUCAGGAGGUUAGUGCAAUGGCAUAAGCCAGCUUGACUGCGAGCGUGACGGCGCGAGCAGGUGCGAAAGCAGGUCAUAGUGAUCCGGUGGUUCUGAAUGGAAGGGCCAUCGCUCAACGGAUAAAAGGUACUCCGGGGAUAACAGGCUGAUACCGCCCAAGAGUUCAUAUCGACGGCGGUGUUUGGCACCUCGAUGUCGGCUCAUCACAUCCUGGGGCUGAAGUAGGUCCCAAGGGUAUGGCUGUUCGCCAUUUAAAGUGGUACGCGAGCUGGGUUUAGAACGUCGUGAGACAGUUCGGUCCCUAUCUGCCGUGGGCGCUGGAAGAUUGAGGGGGGCUGCUCCUAGUACGAGAGGACCGGAGUGGACGCAUCACUGGUGUUCGGGUUGUCAUGCCAAUGGCACUGCCCGGUAGCUACAUGCGGAAGAGAUAAGUGCUGAAAGCAUCUAAGCACGAAACUUGCCCCGAGAUGAAUCUUCCCUGAGCCUUUAAGGCUCCUGAAGGAACGUUGAAGACGACGACGUUGAUAGGCCGGGUGUGUAAGCGCAGCGAUGCGUUGAGCUAACCGGUACUAAUGAACCGUGAGGCUUAACCUUACAACGCCGAAG